This 334-nucleotide RNase P RNA is filed under the name Eubacteriaceae bacterium. RNAcentral's name for it is "RNase P RNA component class A". It matches the Rfam family "Bacterial RNase P class A". From Rfam's summary of the family: Ribonuclease P (RNase P) is a ubiquitous endoribonuclease, found in archaea, bacteria and eukarya as well as chloroplasts and mitochondria. RNAcentral also lists the same sequence under 1 other name. Lineage: Bacteria; Bacillati; Bacillota; Clostridia; Eubacteriales; Eubacteriaceae. The record is from RNAcentral.
UUUGCGAGCCAUUUGAUCGCGCAUGAAAAUGUGAGGAAAGUCCGAGCUCCAUAGGGCAAGAAUGCCGGAUAACGUCCGGUGAAGGCAACUUUAAGGAAAGUGCAACAGAAAGCAAACCGCCGCCUUGUCGGUAAGGAUGAAAGCGUGAGGUAAGAGCUCACGUAAUGUGCAGGCAACUGCAUGUUAUGUAAACCCCAUUCGGAGCAAGACCAAGCAAGAACCGAAAAGCAGCGGCCCGUUGCGGUUCGUGGUAGGUCGCAUAAGCAUGUUGGCGACAAUGUGCUCAGAUAGAUGAUCAUUAAUACAGAACUCGGCUUAUUCGCUCGCAAAUGCU